This is a non-coding RNA of Mauremys mutica (yellowpond turtle), 357 nucleotides long. NCBI's taxonomy places the organism in Eukaryota, Metazoa, Chordata, Testudines, Geoemydidae. The record is from the annotation of a RefSeq genome assembly.
AUGAGGAACUAUCCAGAACGAUUAUAUAAACUAUUUGCCGGUGUGCGGUCCCAGGUGCAGCUGGUGGAGUCCGGAGGGGAUGUGAAAAAGCCCGGAGACUCUCUCCGCCUCUCCUGCAAAGCCUCCGGCUUCACCAUCAGCAGCUACGGGAUGAGCUGGGUCCGGCAGGCUCCCGGGAAGGGGCUGGAGUGGGUUUCAAGCACUUAUUGGGAAGUAUGGAACCGCUCUUACUACGCAGACUCAGUGAAAGUGAAAGGCCGAUUCACCAUCUCCAGGGACGAUUCCAACAACCUGGUGCAUUUGGACAUGACCGGCCUGAAGCCCGAGGACACCGCCCGGUAUCACUGUGCGAGAGAG